Molecule: ribosomal RNA, 406 nt
Filed under: uncultured bacterium
Lineage: Bacteria
Description: bacterial SSU rRNA
Rfam family: Bacterial small subunit ribosomal RNA
Source: RNAcentral
UGGGGAAUAUUGCACAAUGGGCGCAAGCCUGAUGCAGCAACGCCGCGUGAAUGAUGAAGGCCUUCGGGUCGUAAAGUUCUGUCCAAAGGGAAGAAAACAAUGACGGUACCUUUGGAGGAAGCCCCGGCUAACUACGUGCCAGCAGCCGCGGUAAUACGUAGGGGGCAAGCGUUAUCCGGAAUCAUUGGGCGUAAAGGGAGCGUAGGCGGCUUGACAAGCCAGAGGUGAAAGGCAAUAGCUUAACUAUUGUAAGCCUUUGGAACUGUCAGACUUGAGUGCAGGAGAGGAAAGUGGAAUUCCUAGUGUAGCGGUGAAAUGCGUAGAUAUUAGGAGGAACACCAGUGGCGAAGGCGACUUUCUGGACUGUAACUGACGCUGAGGCUCGAAAGCGUGGGGAGCGAACAGG